AGAACGAACGCUGGCGGCAUGCCUAACACAUGCAAGUCGAACGAGACCUUCGGGUCUAGUGGCGCACGGGUGCGUAACGCGUGGGAAUCUGCCCUUAGGUUCGGAAUAACAGUUAGAAAUGACUGCUAAUACCGGAUAAUGACGUAAGUCCAAAGAUUUAUCGCCUAAGGAUGAGCCCGCGUAAGAUUAGCUAGUUGGUGGGGUAAAGGCCUACCAAGGCUACGAUCUUUAGCUGGUCUGAGAGGAUGAUCAGCCACACUGGGACUGAGACACGGCCCAGACUCCUACGGGAGGCAGCAGUGGGGAAUAUUGGACAAUGGGCGAAAGCCUGAUCCAGCAAUGCCGCGUGAGUGAUGAAGGCCUUAGGUUGUAAAGCUCUUUACCCGGGAUGAUAAUGACAGUACCGGAGAAUAAGCUCCGGCUAACUCCGUGCCAGCAGCCGC
Molecule: ribosomal RNA, 443 nt
Filed under: uncultured soil bacterium
Lineage: Bacteria
Description: bacterial SSU rRNA
Rfam family: Bacterial small subunit ribosomal RNA
Source: RNAcentral